This 1176-nucleotide long non-coding RNA is filed under the name Neogobius melanostomus (round goby). RNAcentral's name for it is "lncRNA (ENSNMLG00000019509.1)". Lineage: Eukaryota; Metazoa; Chordata; Actinopteri; Gobiiformes; Gobiidae. The record is from RNAcentral.
UGUUGUUUCUCAAACGUCGAUGCGCUCAGCGGUUCUCAUUUGACAGAACCAUUCAAUUAGCUGGCUGAAUUCAGAUUAUUUUGCCGAACGAAAAUUAAAAUGCAGUUAAACUCAUUCAGAUGUCAAAGUUAACAUUUCAGACAAUAAUAUGCUCAGAAAGCAAAUCAGUGUUCCGUUUUAUCACCGUACUUGGCAUCAAAUGACUCCCUCGUACAAUGUAAAGCAUGCGAGUGUCACACAAAAAUAUAACCCCAUGAUCUAGAGACGUACAAUGGUUCCGCUUAAUAAAAAUAGAAACCUUCGGUCGUGCCUUUUAUUUUCAAGGCAGGAUAAUGUGUUGUUGCUGCACUACCUUUUUUUUUUUUUAUCUUUUUACUGCUUAUACACUUUUUUAUGUCUCUGGAAAACACCUUGAACAGCAAUUUAUGAAAGGUGCUGUACAAAUAAGUGAUUUAUAUUAUUAUUACUACAUGACACACCAACAGAUGUGUAAGGGGGAGGGGGGUAAAUAUUUUAAUAAUUGAUUUGUAAAUUGAUAUACUCCUUUGUGACACAUCAUGUGUGGAUUGAAUAUAGUAGUCCCUCCCCCAAACCGCAGUCGUUAAUCCGAGGUAAUCUCUUCAUUCGCUCUGUCAGAGAAUAGGCCUACAGUCCAUUGAACUGGAUAAAUUAUACUUUCACCAAACAAAGAUACAAAAAUGAGCAAGGCAGUGCAUCUGCAAAAACACUUGUAUGACUUGACAGAGAGGGAGCGUUUGUCCAAACUCCACAACUGGGAACUUCUGCAGCAGUUUGAGGAUGCCCAGAAGACACUGAAAAAGAUGCUGGACCGCACUGCUGCCAUGAAAAACUUACGGAAAGAAUAUGAGAGUUACCUUUGGAGCUGUUCACACCAGGAUAACCAACUCCAUGUCAAAGCGCAGACAACUCUGCAGAAUGUAAGCUAUCCAAAUGAAUACAGUUAAAUGGUAUUACAAUGCUAUACUACUUAGAAAGAAUGUAACUAAAUAUUGUCUCUCUAAAAGAUGCCCGGGGACAUCAGGUGACAUGUCAGAAGAAUUCUGAUACGUCAUGUACUCUACUUUCACAUGGUUUGUUUUUCAUUUCUUAAAAAAAAACAUAUUUGAUGUUAGGACAAAUUAAUAUCCACAUUUCUUUUACACAUGAACUAUGACU